ACGGGAGGCAGCAGUGGGGAAUAUUGGGCAAUGGGCGAAAGCCUGACCCAGCAACGCCGCGUGAAGGGAGAAGGUCUUCGGAUUGUAAACUUCUUUUAUGAGGGACGAAGGACGUGACGGUACCUCAUGAAUAAGCCACGGCUAACUACGUGCCAGCAGCCGCGGUAAUACGUAGGUGGCAAGCGUUAUCCGGAUUUACUGGGUGUAAAGGGCGCGUAGGCGGGGAUGCAAGUCAGAUGUGAAAUCUAUGGGCUUAACCCAUAAACUGCAUUUGAAACUGUAUCUCUUGAGUGCUGGAGAGGUAGAUGGAAUUCCUAGUGUAGCGGUGAAAUGCGUAGAUAUUGGGAGGAACACCAGUGGCGAAGGCGACUUACUGGGCCGUUACUGACGCUGAGGCACGAAAGUGUGGGGAGCAAACAGGAUUAGAUACCCUGGUA
RNAcentral lists this ribosomal RNA (437 nucleotides) under uncultured Oscillospiraceae bacterium. RNAcentral's name for it is "bacterial SSU rRNA". It matches the Rfam family "Bacterial small subunit ribosomal RNA", at positions 341 to 792 of the family's 1533-position model. The record is from RNAcentral. Lineage: Bacteria; Bacillati; Bacillota; Clostridia; Eubacteriales; Oscillospiraceae.